AGUCAUAUGCUUGUCUCAAAGAUUAAGCCAUGCAUGUCUCAGUACAAACAAUAUUAAUGUGAAACCGCGAAAGGCUCAUUAAAUCAGUUAUGGUUCCUUAGAUCGUACCCACAUUUACUUGGAUAACUGUGGUAAUUCUAGAGCUAAUACAUGCAAACAGAGCUCCAACCGGAGACGGAAGGAGUGCUUUUAUUAGAUCAAAACCAAUCGGCGGCAGUGGCGUGUCUCGUCGCUGUUCGUCGCAGUGCUUGGUGACUCUGAAUAACUUUUGGCUGAUCGCACGGUCUUGCACCGGCGACGCAUCUUUCAAAUGUCUGCCUUAUCAACUGUCGAUGGUAGGUUCUGCGCCUACCAUGGUUGUAACGGGUAACGGGGAAUCAGGGUUCGAUUCCGGAGAGGGAGCCUGAGAAACGGCUACCACAUCCAAGGAAGGCAGCAGGCGCGCAAAUUACCCACUCCCGGCACGGGGAGGUAGUGACGAAAAAUAACGAUACGGGACUCAUCCGAGGCCCCGUAAUCGGAAUGAGAACACUUUAAAUCCUUUAACAAGGACCAAUUGGAGGGCAAGUCUGGUGCCAGCAGCCGCGGUAAUUCCAGCUCCAAUAGCGUAU
This 611-nucleotide ribosomal RNA is filed under the name Medusapyga chehalis. RNAcentral describes it as "SSU rRNA". It matches the Rfam family "Eukaryotic small subunit ribosomal RNA", at positions 22 to 602 of the family's 1831-position model. The record is from RNAcentral. Lineage: Eukaryota; Metazoa; Arthropoda; Insecta; Coleoptera; Carabidae.